UACGGGAGGCAGCAGUGGGGAAUAUUGCACAAUGGGCGCAAGCCUGAUGCAGCCAUGCCGCGUGUAUGAAGAAGGCCUUCGGGUUGUAAAGUACUUUCAGCGGGGAGGAAGGCGGUGAAGUUAAUAGCUUCACCGAUUGACGUUACCCGCAGAAGAAGCACCGGCUAACUCCGUGCCAGCAGCCGCGGUAAUACGGAGGGUGCAAGCGUUAAUCGGAAUUACUGGGCGUAAAGCGCACGCAGGCGGUCUGUCAAGUCGGAUGUGAAAUCCCCGGGCUUAACCUGGGAACUGCAUUCGAAACUGGCAGGCUAGAGUCUUGUAGAGGGGGUAGAAUUCCAGGUGUAGCGGUGAAAUGCGUAGAGAUCUGGAGGAAUCCGGUGGCGAAGGCGGCCCCUGGGACAAGACUGACGCUCAGGGUGCGAAAGCGUGGGGAGCGAAACAGGGAUUAGGAUACC
RNAcentral lists this ribosomal RNA (455 nucleotides) under uncultured bacterium. RNAcentral describes it as "bacterial SSU rRNA". It matches the Rfam family "Bacterial small subunit ribosomal RNA", at positions 340 to 786 of the family's 1533-position model. The record is from RNAcentral.